RNAcentral lists this ribosomal RNA (503 nucleotides) under uncultured bacterium. Its description in RNAcentral is "partial 16S ribosomal RNA". It matches the Rfam family "Bacterial small subunit ribosomal RNA", at positions 30 to 523 of the family's 1533-position model. The record is from RNAcentral.
AUUGAACGCUGGCGGCAGGCUUAACACAUGCAAGUCGAGCGGGGUGAUGGUGCUUGCACUAUCACUUAGCGGCGGACGGGUGAGUAAUGCUUAGGAAUCUGCCUAUUAGUGGGGGACAACAUCUCGAAAGGGAUGCUAAUACCGCAUACGUCCUACGGGAGAAAGCAGGGGAUCACUUGUGACCUUGCGCUAAUAGAUGAGCCUAAGUCGGAUUAGAUAGUUGGUGGGGUAAAGGCCUACCAAGGCGACGAUCUGUAGCGGGUCUGAGAGGAUGAUCCGCCACACUGGGACUGAGACACGGCCCAGACUCCUACGGGAGGCAGCAGUGGGGAAUAUUGGACAAUGGGGGGAACCCUGAUCCAGCCAUGCCGCGUGUGUGAAGAAGGCCUUAUGGUUGUAAAGCACGUUAAGCGAGGAGGAGGCUCUUUUGGUUAAUACCCAAGAUGAGUGGACGUUACUCGCAGAAUAAGCACCGGCUAACUCUGUGCCAGCCGCCGCCGUAA